RNAcentral lists this ribosomal RNA (550 nucleotides) under uncultured bacterium. Its description in RNAcentral is "bacterial SSU rRNA". It matches the Rfam family "Bacterial small subunit ribosomal RNA", at positions 355 to 896 of the family's 1533-position model. The record is from RNAcentral.
UAGGGAAUCUUCGACAAUGGGGGGAACCCUGACCGAGCAACGCCGCGUGAGUGAAGAAGGUUUUCGGAUCGUAAAGCUCUGUUGUUAAGGAAGAACGAGUGUGAGAAUGGAAAGUUCAUACUGUGACGGUACUUAACCAGAAAGGGACGGCUAACUACGUGCCAGCAGCCGCGGUAAUACGUAGGUCCCGAGCGUUGUCCGGAUUUAUUGGGCGUAAAGCGAGCGCAGGCGGUUAGAUAAGUCUGAAGUUAAAGGCAGUGGCUCAACCAUUGUAGGCUUUGGAAACUGUUUAACUUGAGUGCAGAAGGGGAGAGUGGAAUUCCAUGUGUAGCGGUGAAAUGCGUAGAUAUAUGGAGGAACACCGGUGGCGAAAGCGGCUCUCUGGUCUGUAACUGACGCUGAGGCUCGAAAGCGUGGGGAGCGAACAGGAUUAGAUACCCUGGUAGUCCACGCCGUAAACGAUGAGUGCUAGGUGUUAGGUCCUUUCCGGGACUUAGUGCCGCAGCUAACGCAUUAAGCACUCCGCCUGGGGAGUACGACCGCAAGGUUG